Acanthosepion pharaonis is the source of this 111-nucleotide non-coding RNA. The record is from the annotation of a GenBank genome assembly. Lineage: Eukaryota; Metazoa; Mollusca; Cephalopoda; Sepiida; Sepiidae.
CAGCCACAUCACGUUGGAGCACUUGUUCCCGUACGAUCACCCAAGUUAAACAACGUCGAGCCUGCUCAGUACCUAAAUGGGUGACAGCUAGGGAAUAAUAGGUGUUGUAAG